UCUCCCUUCUAACACUCUAGUAGCGCCACUUUGGUGACGUUCGUGCUGCGUCGAAUAAGGUGGCAUCGAUCUCUUCCUCACCACGACAACGUUUUUCGAGCGACGCGCUGAGCCGAUUGCCUCGUCUGCUUGUCGUUCGUUCGGAUCGGUAGGCCAUAUGUUUCCCGUGUCUAGCAGCUCUCGUCCCUUCUGGCGGCACCGACAAUUGGAACAAAUUGGUGCAGGUACAAGGUUAGUGGCCCGAUGGCGACGGAUCAGGUACAAGGUUAGUGGCCCGACGACGGCGGAUUUGGCAUUCUUCCCCGGCAACAGUGGUGGAAUGCGUCAGAUCUGGAUCCAAGUCGGCGUGGGAAACAUUCCUCACACGGCGGAUUUGGCAUUCUUCCCCGGCAACAGUGGUGGAAUGCGUCAGAUCUGGAUCCAAGUCGGCGUCGGAAACAUUCCUCACACGCCACAUCGUCAAGCACCUGUGUUGAAGGUCUAGUCUUCAGCUCACAACGCCUACAAGUCUAUGACGCUAGCCUCAAUUUUGGUGUGUUCAAGGUCUAGUCUUCAGCUCAUAACGCCUACAAGUCUAUGACACUAGCCUCAAUUUUGGUUUGUUGGUUCUUCGCCUCUUUACUUGGUGUGCGCGUCAGUGAUGUCGACGAUCGAGGACGGUUUUAGAUUUGGUUGUUCGCAC
RNAcentral lists this long non-coding RNA (682 nucleotides) under Hordeum vulgare. Its description in RNAcentral is "long non-coding RNA (HVUL_LNC001356)". Lineage: Eukaryota; Viridiplantae; Streptophyta; Magnoliopsida; Poales; Poaceae. The record is from RNAcentral.